Molecule: non-coding RNA, 899 nt
Organism: Taeniopygia guttata (zebra finch)
Lineage: Eukaryota; Metazoa; Chordata; Aves; Passeriformes; Estrildidae
Source: RefSeq, a predicted model, not a curated record
UAGAAAUAGAAAUAGAAAUAGAAAUAGAAAUAGAAAUAGAAAUAGAAAUAGAAAUAUUUGGAAUUUAGCAGAAUAAGGGUGAUAUGACCAAUAUCUCCCAUUUUGACCAAUUCCUUAUUAUUUUAAGAGUGUUUGAGGAGAUGGAGAAUAUGAAUAUAAUCAUUGGAAGUUUUUUCUUUCUUUCCAGGUUUGCAUCCCGUGGCUCCAGGAGCAGUUCUUGGUUUGCAGGCAGUGUAGUUAGCUGAUUGUCUGCAGAAUUCCACAAUCACUAACUUCACUGCCACCAAAACAAGGCACAGCGUUCCCCGCUCCAACCUCGGCCUGGAAACUCCCAAUUUCCUUAUUCCUACUGCAAAAUCAUGAAUAAUCUGAUUUAUCUGCACCUCUGUUUCCAGAAUUUUAGCUGCCCACAGCAGUGAGUGCUGCACUUUGGUGAUAUAAAGUGAAAUCUUGGAUUUCUCGGAGUUGGUGCUAAAAUCCACAGGAAUUUUCCUGCACCAAGAAUCCUGUCUGGUUUAAAAUGUUUAAUUUACUGUAUACUUAAUUUUUAAUGCACACAGACUGGACUAUGAAUUAUUUUAUCUGCCAGACAUCAAUAAUUUUCUUUAUUUUUAUUACAUGUUUUACUAAGCAAGAUUUGCAGGCUUUGACUCCCAUUCUGACUGGGCUCGUCUCAGCCUCACCGAGGCCUCUGUUCUCACAUUUCCCUCCGUUUAUUCUUGUUGAAUAAAUGAAAUUAAGGCCCGUGCUGGCAGCUUUCCCCAUCCUUGGAGAAGCUGGGCUAGAGUGGAAAUGACCUGAAAGAAGAUGGAAACUUCUACUGAACCCCAAUUACUGACCUGGUUAAUUAGUGUGCCCCACCAGCAACAGAACACAAAUAAAGCAAACUCACACUUUCA